Molecule: ribosomal RNA, 253 nt
Filed under: uncultured prokaryote
Description: partial 16S ribosomal RNA
Rfam family: Bacterial small subunit ribosomal RNA
Source: RNAcentral
ACGUAGGAGGCAAGCGUUGUCCGGAUUUACUGGGCGUAAAGCGCACGUAGGCGGCCUAGCAAGCGGGGAGUGAAAGCCCUCGGCUUAACCGAGGAAGUGCUUUCCGAACUACUAGGCUUGAGUACGCAAGAGGGUCGCGGAAUUCCCGGUGUAGAGGUGAAAUUCGUAGAUAUCGGGAGGAACACCAGUGGCGAAGGCGGCGACCUGGGGCGAUACUGACGCUGAGGUGCGAAAGCGUGGGGAGCAAACAGGA